Molecule: non-coding RNA, 304 nt
Organism: Nicotiana attenuata
Lineage: Eukaryota; Viridiplantae; Streptophyta; Magnoliopsida; Solanales; Solanaceae
Source: Rfam
GCCGGGCUUGGUAACGUGAGCUUGUAACCCAAGUGGGGGCGAUAAAGUGGUGGAAUAUUGGGUUGACCCAGAAGGCAGGACUUUGUGGGCUAAUCUCUGGCCUGCCCUGUCCAAGCAUGGAGUUGGGCUUCGUAGUCCAAGUGAAAAUAUGGGCUGCGUAGCUCCUAAAGUGGGGCGGACCGCGUGAGGCUGGUUUCACAGAGCAAUGAACAGCUCCCGCUCUGUGCAGUGGAAGGAUAACGGAUCAGUGUUCACAAAGUCCAACAAAAGCCUGAUGGGCUGAUCCAAUUAAACCACCACAUUU